GGUUAAAUACUACCUAGUGACCGAUAGCGUAUAGUACCGUGAGGGAAAGGUGAAAAGAACCCCGGGAGGGGAGUGAAAUAGAACCUGAAACCCUGCACUUACAAGCUGUGGAAGAACAUUUCUUGUGUGACCGCGUACUUUUUGUAGAACGGGCCAACGAGUUACGUUAAGUAGCAAGGUUAAGCACUUAAGGUG
This 195-nucleotide ribosomal RNA is filed under the name Clostridioides difficile. RNAcentral describes it as "partial 23S ribosomal RNA". It matches the Rfam family "Bacterial large subunit ribosomal RNA", at positions 464 to 660 of the family's 2925-position model. Lineage: Bacteria; Bacillati; Bacillota; Clostridia; Peptostreptococcales; Peptostreptococcaceae. The record is from RNAcentral.